This 433-nucleotide ribosomal RNA is filed under the name Actinomyces sp. oral taxon 181. Its description in RNAcentral is "bacterial SSU rRNA". It matches the Rfam family "Bacterial small subunit ribosomal RNA", at positions 28 to 456 of the family's 1533-position model. Lineage: Bacteria; Bacillati; Actinomycetota; Actinomycetes; Actinomycetales; Actinomycetaceae. The record is from RNAcentral.
GACGAACGCUGGCGGCGUGCUUAACACAUGCAAGUCGAACGCUGAAGGCCCAGCUUGCUGGGUUGGAUGAGUGGCGAACGGGUGAGUAACACGUGAGUAACCUGCCCUCUUCUUUGGGAUAACGGUCGGAAACGGCUGCUAAUACCGGGUAUUCACUGUCCUUCGCAUGGGGGGUGGUGGAAAGGUUUUUUCUGGUGGGGGAUGGGCUCGCGGCCUAUCAGCUUGUUGGUGGGGUGAUGGCUUACCAAGGCUUUGACGGGUAACCGGCCUGAGAGGGUGACCGGUCACAUUGGGACUGAGAUACGGCCCAGACUCCUACGGGAGGCAGCAGUGGGGAAUAUUGCACAAUGGGCGAAAGCCUGAUGCAGCGACGCCGCGUGAGGGAUGACGGCCUUCGGGUUGUAAACCUCUUUCGCUCAGGUCAAGCCGCAAC